RNAcentral lists this long non-coding RNA (403 nucleotides) under Rattus norvegicus (Norway rat). RNAcentral describes it as "long non-coding RNA NONRATT032955". Lineage: Eukaryota; Metazoa; Chordata; Mammalia; Rodentia; Muridae. The record is from RNAcentral.
GAGAAGUCCUGAGGGUAUACCGCUGUCCCAGGGUUCUUCUGAUAGUCCACAUUGAUUCAUGACUGCUUCCAAGGAGAGCUUGUGCAUCCAUACAAGGUGGCUUUUGUACUUUGGAUACAAAGGAAAAGAAGAGAGGGACAAAGCAAGAGACAAAGAAGUGCCCUACUUGUGAGCUGCGAAGUUUUCUUCCUUGAAAAGAAUACAAAGUGCAGGAAAGUGUCCCACUUCUCCUCUUUCUUUGUCUUUCCUUUUCUGCCUUGUCUUUUGGUCCUUUCCUUAAAAAAAUCAUCUUUUGGCUAGAAGAGAUUGGAGAAUGGAAUGAGGCAAACAGUGUUUCGAGGGGAAAGAAGAAAAACAAAUCAUGGUUGAUGGAGAUAUUAGAGCCAUAGAAAUGCAAGGGUCA